UGGGGAAUUUUGGACAAUGGGCGAAAGCCUGAUCCAGCAAUGCCGCGUGUGUGAAGAAGGCCUUCGGGUUGUAAAGCACUUUUGUCCGGAAAGAAAUCCUUGGCUCUAAUACAGUCGGGGGAUGACGGUACCGGAAGAAUAAGCACCGGCUAACUACGUGCCAGCAGCCGCGGUAAUACGUAGGGUGCAAGCGUUAAUCGGAAUUACUGGGCGUAAAGCGUGCGCAGGCGGUUUGCUAAGACCGAUGUGAAAUCCCCGGGCUCAACCUGGGAACUGCAUUGGUGACUGGCAGGCUAGAGUAUGGCAGAGGGGGGUAGAAUUCCACGUGUAGCAGUGAAAUGCGUAGAGAUGUGGGGGAAUACCGAUGGCGAAGGCAGCCCCCUGGGCCAAUACUGACGCUCAUGCACGAAAGCGUGGGGGAGCAAAACAGGAUUAGAUACCCUGGUAGUCCACGCCCUAAAACGAUGUCAACUAGUUGUUGGGGAUUCAUUUCCUUAGUAACGUAGCUAACGCGUGAAGUUGACCGCCUGGGGAGUAC
Molecule: ribosomal RNA, 538 nt
Filed under: uncultured bacterium
Lineage: Bacteria
Description: partial 16S ribosomal RNA
Rfam family: Bacterial small subunit ribosomal RNA
Source: RNAcentral